Molecule: ribosomal RNA, 254 nt
Filed under: uncultured bacterium
Lineage: Bacteria
Description: partial 16S ribosomal RNA
Rfam family: Bacterial small subunit ribosomal RNA
Source: RNAcentral
UACAGAGGGGGCGAGCGUUGUUCGGAAUUACUGGGCGUAAAGGGCGCGUAGGCGGCCAACUAAGUCGGAUGUGAAAUCCCCAGGCUUAACCUGGGAACUGCAUCCGAUACUGGAUGGCUUGAAUCCGGGAGAGGGAUGCAGAAUUCCAGGUGUAGCGGUGAAAUGCGUAGAUAUCUGGAGGAAUACCGGUGGCGAAGGCGGCAUCCUGGACCGGCAUUGACGCUGAGUGAGCGAAAGCCAGGGGAGCAAACGGG